UACGUAGGGGGCCAGCGUUGCUCGGAAUUACUGGGCGUAAAGGGUUCGUAGGUGGUGCGGCAAGUUGGAAGUGAAAUCUCUGGGCUUAACCCAGAGGCUGCUUUCAAAACUGCCGUGCUCGAGUGCGAGAGAGGCUCGUGGAAUUGCAGGUGUAGCGGUGAAAUGCGUAGAUAUCUGCAGGAACACACGUGGCGAAAGCGGCGAGCUGGAUCACAACUGACGCUGAGGAACGAAAGCUAGGGGAGCAAACAGG
Molecule: ribosomal RNA, 253 nt
Filed under: uncultured bacterium
Lineage: Bacteria
Description: partial 16S ribosomal RNA
Rfam family: Bacterial small subunit ribosomal RNA
Source: RNAcentral